This is a non-coding RNA of Hypoxylon sp. FL1857, 106 nucleotides long. Lineage: Eukaryota; Fungi; Ascomycota; Sordariomycetes; Xylariales; Hypoxylaceae. The record is from the annotation of a GenBank genome assembly.
GGCGCAGUGGCAGAGUGGUCUAAUGCGAUAGACUAGAAUACCUCAGUUGAGGUUUCUAGCUCAUCUAUUCCCUUCGGGGGCGUCUGUUCGAAUCAGGCCUGCGUCG